GUGACCUCAAAUCAGGUAGGACUACCCGCUGAACUUAAGCAUAUCAAUAAGCGGAGGAAAAGAAACUAACAAGGAUUCCCCUAGUAACUGCGAGUGAAGCGGGAAAAGCUCAAAUUUAAAAUCUGGCGGUCUUWUGGCUGUCCGAGUUGUAAUCUAGAGAAGUGUUAUCCGCGCUGGACCGUGUACAAGUCUCCUGGAAUGGAGCAUCAUAGAGGGUGAGAAUCCCGUCUUUGACAUGGACUGCCAGGGCUUUGUGAUGCGCUCUCAAAGAGUCGAGUUGUUUGGGAAUGCAGCUCAAAAUGGGUGGUAAAUUCCAUCUAAAGCUAAAUAUUGGCGAGAGACCGAUAGCGAACAAGUACCGUGAGGGAAAGAUGAAAAGAACUUUGGAAAGAGAGUUAAACAGUACGUGAAAUUGCUGAAAGGGAAACGCUUGAAGUCAGUCGCGUCAUCCAGGGAUCAACCUUGCUUUUGCUUGGUGCACUUCCUGGUUUGAUGGGUCAGCAUCAAUUUUGACUAUUGGAAAAAGGCUGAGGGAAUGUGGCAUCUUCGGAUGUGUUAUAGCCCUUGGUCGCAUACAAUGGUUGGGAUUGAGGAACUCAGCACGCCGCAAGGCCGGGUUUUAAACCACGUACGUGCUUAGGAUGCUGGCAAUAUGGCUUUAAUCGACCCGUC
Molecule: ribosomal RNA, 672 nt
Filed under: Cortinarius casimirii
Lineage: Eukaryota; Fungi; Basidiomycota; Agaricomycetes; Agaricales; Cortinariaceae
Description: eukaryotic LSU rRNA
Rfam family: Eukaryotic large subunit ribosomal RNA
Source: RNAcentral